AAAUAGCCUUGUUAGGUGAGGCUACUGUACCAGAGAUAAGCUACUGCCCAGAAACGUCCAAAGACGCCAACGGGUCAACAGGAAUUUUCGAAUUAAGGAAAUUUUUAACGUAGCUGGGUCUGACCCUAUGCUGUACAGUGCUGAAACUCAAUGAAGGGGUGCGG
This 164-nucleotide small RNA is filed under the name Carnobacterium sp. RNAcentral describes it as "Magnesium sequence". It matches the Rfam family "M-box riboswitch aptamer (ykoK leader)". From Rfam's summary of the family: M-box riboswitch, also know as ykoK leader is described as a metaloregulatory RNA that sense divalent metals and function as a genetic control element of genes related to divalent metal transport in bacteria. Lineage: Bacteria; Bacillati; Bacillota; Bacilli; Lactobacillales; Carnobacteriaceae. The record is from RNAcentral.